Molecule: non-coding RNA, 753 nt
Filed under: Perkinsus marinus ATCC 50983
Lineage: Eukaryota; Perkinsozoa; Perkinsida; Perkinsidae
Description: Eukaryotic small subunit ribosomal RNA
Rfam family: Eukaryotic small subunit ribosomal RNA
Source: Rfam by way of RNAcentral
CAUGUCUAAGUAUAAGCUUUAAACGGCGAAACUGCCAAUGGCUCAUUAAAACAGUUAUAGUUUAUUUGGUGAUCGAUUACUAUUUGGAUAACCGUAGUAAUUCUAGAGCUAAUACAUGCGUCAAGGCCCGACUUCGGAAGGGCUGCGUUUAUUAAAUACAGAACCAACCUAGGCUCCGCCUAGUCCUUGUUGGUGAUUCAUAAUAACCCGGCGAAUCGCACGGCUUGUCCGGCGAUGGACCAUUCAAGUUUCUGACCUAUCAGCUAUGGACGGUAGGGUAUUGGCCUACCGUGGCGUUGACGGGUAACGGGGAAUUAGGGUUCGAUUCCGGAGAGGGAGCCUGAGAAACGGCUACCACAUCUAAGGAAGGCAGCAGGCGCGCAAAUUACCCAAUCCUGAUACAGGGAGGUAGUGACAAGAAAUAACAAUACAGGGCAAUUCUGUCUUGUAAUUGGAAUGAGUAGAUUUUAAAUCUCUUUACGAGUAUCAAUUGGAGGGCAAGUCUGGUGCCAGCAGCCGCGGUAAUUCCAGCUCCAAUAGCGUAUAUUAAAGUUGUUGCGGUUAAAAAGCUCGUAGUUGGAUUUCUGCCUUGGGCGACCGAUCCACCUUUCCUACGGGAUUGGUCGGUAUCAAGUAUGACCUUGGCUUUUUCUUGGGAUUCGUGCUCACGUACUUAACUGUGCGUUGACCGUGUUCCAAGACUUUUACUUUAAGGAAAUUAGAGUGUUUCAAGCAGGCUUAUGCCAUGAAUAC